CGCGGGAGAGCGCGCCGGCCCAUCGCGAAUCGCCAUCGGGUGAUUUGCCGGGCAGGCGCCGCCGAAGGAGCAACCGCCCCGGAAUCUCUCAGGCCAAAGGACCGCG
Molecule: non-coding RNA, 106 nt
Filed under: Sphingomonas sp.
Lineage: Bacteria; Pseudomonadati; Pseudomonadota; Alphaproteobacteria; Sphingomonadales; Sphingomonadaceae
Description: Glycine sequence
Rfam family: Glycine riboswitch aptamer
About the family: This family represents the bacterial glycine riboswitch.
Source: RNAcentral